This 450-nucleotide ribosomal RNA is filed under the name uncultured bacterium. RNAcentral describes it as "partial 16S ribosomal RNA". It matches the Rfam family "Bacterial small subunit ribosomal RNA", at positions 354 to 796 of the family's 1533-position model. The record is from RNAcentral.
GUGGGGAAUCUUCCGCAAUGGACGAAAGUCUGACGGAGCAACGCCGCGUGAGUGAUGAAGGUCUUCGGAUUGUAAAGCUCUGUUAAUCGGGACGAAAGAGCCUAGUGUGAAUAAUGCUAGGAAGUGACGGUACCGGAAUAGAAAGCCACGGCUAAAUACGUGCCAGCAGCCGCGGUAAUACGUAGGUGGCAAGCGUUGUCCGGAAUUAUUGGGCGUAAAGCGCGCGCAGGCGGAUCUGCCAGUCUGUCUUAAAAGUUCGGGGCUUAACCCCGUGAUGGGAUGGAAACUACAGAUCUAGAGUAUCGGAGAGGAAAGUGGAAUUCCUAGUGUAGCGGUGAAAUACGUAGAGAUUAGGAAGAACACCAGUGGCGAAGGCGACUUUCUGGACGAAAACUGACGCUGAGGCGCGAAAGCCAGGGGAGCGAACGGGAUUAGAAACCCCAGUAGUCC